RNAcentral lists this long non-coding RNA (1338 nucleotides) under Ursus maritimus (polar bear). RNAcentral describes it as "lncRNA (ENSUMAG00000015090.1)". Lineage: Eukaryota; Metazoa; Chordata; Mammalia; Carnivora; Ursidae. The record is from RNAcentral.
UGAGAUCCAGGCGGGGUUUUGACAGCUCCAGGAGGAAAGCAAGAAGAUGGAAUGCGGGAGGAGCGGAAGGUGGGCACUUUAGGGACCAGGGGUGGUGAGGCAGGUCGGAAACCGAGCCCUGCAAUAAAGGAGCAAAGGGACUCUAACUGUGGGCAGCAGUUACCUAUGAGGUGGGCGGCUGGGAGCCUGGAACUGAAAUCUGUUUCUGCCUCCUUCUCCUCUGGCAGCUCCUGUGACCCUGGAAGGGGGGAAGAGUCCACGAUUGCGGGCUAGGGCAGCCUUCCAUGCUUGGCCCCCCCAAGAAGACAGGGCGCCAGGGCAGGUUUCCGGGGAGGAAGAGUGCAUGAGACCCAAGCUCCAGGCCUGUGGUUUUUCCUACCAGUCCCAUCCCCAACACACAUCUCCCUGGGAGGGAGAGCAAGCAAGGCAUAUGUGCUUGGGCAGAGACGGAGGCCUGAGUAUGUCUUGGGGAAGAGGAGAGGAGACAGCCAGAGAAUACGAAGGAGCUUGGAGCUCUCAGGACACAACAGCAUCACAGGAACUUGGAAAGAUGACCAGAAGAGGCAGACAAAGCAUCCCCACCGGGGACAGACUGAGCAGGAUGAGACCAGAGAGCCCCAGGCAUAGCUAGAGAUUUUAUUUAUUUAACAGAGAGAGCAAGCACAAGCAGCGAGAGCGGUAGGCAGAGGGAGAGGGAGAAGCAGGCUCCCCGCCGAGCAAGGAGUCUAAUGUGGGACUCAAUCCCAGGACCCUGGGAUCAUGACCUGAGCCGAAGGAAGGCGGAUGCUUAGCGACUGAGCCACCCAGGCGCCCCUGAUCUACACACUUUAUAUAUAAUAAUUCUUUUAAUCCCGACAAAACUCUAAGAAGAAACGGAGGCACAGAGAAGUUAAGGAACUUAUAGAAGGCCACACAGUAGUGGCAGAGUCAGGAUUUGAACCCAGGCAGUCUGGCUCCAGAGCCUUGACCACAAGACAGUUUAAAAAAACAAAACAAAAAAAAACCCCUGAGUGCUGACUUCAGAUUUGUGCAUUUUAAUGUAUGUAAAUCUUGCCUUCCUCAGCCCCCCAAAAAAGAAAUGGGGAAACAAAAGCUGGACUCGAGUCACCGAUAAGCAUGGUAAGAGGUUUAGGGGUAAAAUGUGUACUGCUGUUUGCAACUUUGAAAGGUAUCCAAAAAAUGAGAUAGAUUGAUAGGUACGUGAUAAAGCAAAUACAGAAAACUGUCCAUUUUAGAAUGUAGGUGGUAGGGAUAUGUUCACUGUAAAAUUAUUUCAAUUUUGUUCUGCUCGAAUAUUUUAAUAAUAAAAUGUGUGAAGAAAAAAAAACGUGAAUAUUG